GCAGAGUAGGAAACAAAGCGUAAAGUGCUAGGUAUACAGGGAGUUGAUAUCUAGACGAAAAGGAAGUCCUUGCGGUUUUGUCUCCGCAUCCCGCUGC
This 97-nucleotide non-coding RNA is filed under the name bovine gut metagenome. RNAcentral's name for it is "THF riboswitch". It matches the Rfam family "THF (Tetrahydrofolate) riboswitch aptamer". Rfam says of the family: THF riboswitch presents a pseudoknot that joins P1-P2 and the loop of P3 and two THF binding. The record is from RNAcentral.